UGUUCCAACAGGUCUUUUGUCAUCCAGCAGAUCCCAAGCAGCAAUCUGUUCAUGGUGGUGGUGGACAGUAGCUGCCUCUGUGAGUCUGUGGCCCCCAUCACCAUGGCACCCAUUGAAAUCAGGUAUAACGAAUCCCUUAAAUGUGAACGUUUAAAGGCCCAGAAAAUCAGAAGGCGUCCAGAAUCUUGUCAUGGCUUCCAUCCUGAGGAGAAUGCGAGGGAGUGUGGGGGUGCACCGAAUCUCCAGGCCAAGAUGGUCCUUAUCCUGUUCCCUCUGCUUUUGAUGCUCUUCUCAAGGUGACACUGAUGGAGAUGUUCUCUUGGCAUGCUAAGUUAUGGAUAAACUGUGAACCAAAAUAUGGUGCGACAAUAGGAUACAUGAAAUAUAGUCCAACCAUCAGCAUCUCAUGAUUUUAAACUGUGCGUGAUUUAAACUCUUAAAGAUAUGUUGACAAAAAGUUAUCUUUUUACUUUGCCAGUCAUGCAAAUGUGAGUUUGCUACAUGAUAAUCACUCUUCAUCAGAAACGGGACUGCGAGUGGGCAGUGUCCCUUCUGCUUGAAACCCAUUGAAACCAAUUUAAAACUGUGUACUUUUUAAAUAAAGUAUAUUAAAAUCC
Molecule: long non-coding RNA, 617 nt
Filed under: Sus scrofa (pig)
Lineage: Eukaryota; Metazoa; Chordata; Mammalia; Artiodactyla; Suidae
Description: lncRNA (ENSSSCG00040007691.1)
Source: RNAcentral